This is a non-coding RNA of Oncorhynchus mykiss (rainbow trout), 1516 nucleotides long. Lineage: Eukaryota; Metazoa; Chordata; Actinopteri; Salmoniformes; Salmonidae. The record is from RefSeq and is a predicted model, not a curated record.
AUGUUGCUCUGUGUGUGCUCACUGCUCAUUGAUUGUCUGUAUUGUAAUUGUUUUUAAUAACCUGCCCAGGGACUGCGGUUGAAAAUUAGCCGGCUGGCUAAAACCGUCACUUUUACUGAAACAUAGAUGAAUGUGUACUGCCCCCGUAAAAAUAAAAUAAACUCAAACAUCUCCUUACCCAACCAUCAACAUUACCACAACAUAGUGAGUGCCACUGUGGAAAAUAAAUAUAGCUCCAUGUUGGAUAUUUUUGCACUCAGAGAAACAAGGUCAUAAACAGCAUGUGACAUAUCAGUCUUGGUAUAUUAGUCUCAUGUUGAUAUUGUAAAAUUGUUAUUUUGUUAAUUUUCAUACUGGCAUAUUUUGAAAAACACCUGAACAAAUGGCCAUUAACUUUCAUAGUGGGGAAAAUUGGUUUCCAUGACGGCCUAGUGAUUGAGUAACAAUACCCAUACUGUUUAUCAGUAACUAUGUCCUGACACGCUAUGGGAAGUUCAUUCUUAACUGAUGUUGCUUGGCAAGCAAAUCACAAUAAUCCUCUAAGAACCAAUCAGCAAAGGCCUGUCAACUAAACCCCUGAGAGGCCAUUAUAGAAAAUAGAAUCCCUAGAAUGGGGAAGGCCCUCAGACCCAUUAACUUGAAUCGGAAUGUCCAUUCUAGGGAUUAUAUUUCUAUGGUUACACAGGAAACCAGGGGGACCUGCUUCCACAACAGUCCUGGAGGUUUUAAGGUAAAGGUCAGCUUGGUAAUAACUUCAGAUGCUUUUCAGACUUCAUCAACAACCAACAACCUCAACAGGACGUCUGUUUUAAUCAGUCUCCCACUGGACUGAACCAUGGGGUGUAACACCAGCAGGGAUGCUGUCGUGGUAGACCCUUCUAAAAAGCCAGAGACCAGACCAGCGUCGGCCAGCUCGACCAGUAAGGCCACCGCUGAGGAGACUAAAGAAACUACAGAGAAAGAGAAAGAUGAAACAGAAGGCAUAUCAAGCUGCGACUGACCUCCAUCUUUCUUAACCCAAACUCCUCAAAAUUGGCCUGUCUGCAGGUGAAGGAGAUGGUCUCUCUCUGUCUCUCUCUCUCUCUGUGUGUGUGCGUGUGUGUGUGUGUGUACAGAUUGGCCUGUCUGCAGGUGGAGGACCUGCCUGCAGAGGAAGGCAAUGCUGCACAACUGUCCAUCAACCCCUGUGUCAUCUGGGACCAGACCAGCCACACAUCCCGCUCCACUCUGUGAUGUAACCUACCAGCCACACGCUCCGCUCCACUCUGUGAUGUAACCUACCAGCCACACGCCCCGCUCCAUUCUGUGAUGUAGAGCCAAACACUCUGCUCUGUGAUGUAGACCUACCAGCCACAGGUUCCUUACUCUGUCUACUGUUGCUGGUCCAGAACACUCUCUCUCUCUCAAUCUCUCAACUGGACCUUCAGUGUCCACAGUGCCAUGUUUAUAUCCUGUUAAUGUGCCAGUAUGGUCAUUGUAACAACAAUGAGACAUGGUAGUAAAUGUAUAGAUUCAA